UUGCAGGUUUGCGGCAGGGUUUGGUUUGUGUCACCAGUGGUCAUCGUGCGAGAGGCGGGAUACACCCUGGACAGGCUUUUUGCUCACAUUUGCAGUACACAACCAAAGCGACGGAGAUCAUUGACUAAAGCUCAAGUUUCCUGUGUACAGUGCCUUAUUUUGCAAAGCCAUCUUCAGCCAUCCUUUUGACUGUGUAAUGUACAUUCGGAGUUGAAUUACCUCAUAUGUGUAAUACAAAAAGUAAAAUUAUGUUAAA
This is a long non-coding RNA of Poecilia latipinna (sailfin molly), 256 nucleotides long. RefSeq lists it as uncharacterized. The record is from RefSeq and is a predicted model, not a curated record. The transcript has 2 exons. Lineage: Eukaryota; Metazoa; Chordata; Actinopteri; Cyprinodontiformes; Poeciliidae.